GACGAACGCUGGCGGCGUGCUUAACACAUGCAAGUCGAACGGUGAAGGGGUCUGCUUUUGUGGGCCCUGGAUGAGUGGCGAACGGGUGAGUAACACGUGAGUAACCUGCCCCCUUCUUCUGGAUAACCGCAUGAAAGUGUGGCUAAUACGGGAUAUUCUGGGUCUGUCGCAUGAUGGGUCUGGGAAAGAUUGCGCCUUUGGGUGUUUUUGGUGGGGGAUGGGCUCGCGGCCUAUCAGCUUGUUGGUGGGGUGAUGGCCUACCAAGGCGGUGACGGGUAGCCGGCCUGAGAGGGUGGACGGUCACACUGGGACUGAGACACGGCCCAGACGCCUACGGGAGGCAGCAGUGGGGAAUAUUGCACAAUGGGCGCAAGCCUGAUGCAGCGACGCCGCGUGAGGGAUGGAGGCCUUCGGGUUGUAAACCUCUUUCGCCAGUGAAGCAGGCCUGCUCCUUGUGGGUGGGUUGACGGUAGCUGGAUAAGAAGCGCCGGCUAACUACGUG
RNAcentral lists this ribosomal RNA (502 nucleotides) under uncultured bacterium. RNAcentral describes it as "partial 16S ribosomal RNA". It matches the Rfam family "Bacterial small subunit ribosomal RNA", at positions 28 to 507 of the family's 1533-position model. The record is from RNAcentral.